Acyrthosiphon pisum (pea aphid) is the source of this 1261-nucleotide long non-coding RNA. RefSeq lists it as uncharacterized. The transcript is spliced from 5 exons. NCBI's taxonomy places the organism in Eukaryota, Metazoa, Arthropoda, Insecta, Hemiptera, Aphididae. The record is from RefSeq and is a predicted model, not a curated record.
GUAGUGUUCGUGAGGGAAUAUUAUUUUUUUUCUAUAGUGUGUGUUUGUCCGGCUAAAAUAAUAAAUAGGUGCUUUUCGAACAUUCAUUUUUAAAAAUACAAAUAAUAUCUCAUCAAAUUUGUGACUGUGAAAUCAAAAAUUUAUUUUUUUCCAGGUUUCAUUCGAGUGCUUUGUACUGUACUCGGAAUAUAUUUGAAGCAUACUAUACCUUUAAAAAAUAUGAAACGCGAUACCUAACCACCCAACUACUCUUUGGAUGACUGGAUUAACUACCUACCACGAGAAAACUUACUCCUCAAAACACAACCAUCGGUCUAUAGGAGACCGGAAUACAGGUGUUGUAUACAUUCCAGGACUGAGUGAUCGAGGUACCCAAGUCCAUUGAUCGAGUUCUUUUUUCUUAGUUCCAACUGCAUACAAUACAGAUAACUAUCUACUGAUAAGGCUAACUUCAAUAUCCGACUUGUCAAAUUGGUCUUGGUGGUUAAACUUUUAUAUUAAAUAUUUUAACCAUUUUCGAUAAUAAUAUUUAACACUACGUUUUAAAAAUGCACAAGUGUAUAGUGUGCUUCAAUACAUCUAAUAACACCGAAGUCAAUCAUUCAGCAGUUAUUUAUCAUGGAAUUCUCAAGAAUGAAUGUAUUCACAUGAAAAGAAAAUGGCGUAAAGUUUUGGGAAUUGAUCGUUGUUAUGAUUGGCAAAAAAUAUGUAGUGAUUAUUUUUUAGAAGAAAACUAUAAUUCAGGACUAAAGCGAUUUUUAUUUUAAAUGCUAUUACCUAAUCUUAUGAUCGAAAUGUUAUGCUACUCAAAGUAAUGAUGUUGAAACUGAAAACAUAUAAUUUUACCAAUGGAACAAAAUAUUAUAAGGACCAUACUUAAAGAUCUGGAUUUCGAUGUUCCAUUAAAAACUGCUUUAACAGGCUUUCAAAGAAUCUCAGUCUCUUUGGCAUUCCUAAGGAUUUCACGUUGAGAAAAAAGUGGAUAGAAAAAUGUGGAAUAAAAAAAGCUCCUGCUAAAAUAGUGAUAAGUGCUACAAGAGUUUGUAGUACUCAUUUUGAACUAAAUUGUUUCAGGCAUACUGAAUUAAAAAAAAAGAUUAAAACUGGGUGCUGUUCCAUCAUUAUUUUUAGAUAAUGCACCUAAUGCUUUGCCAGUGUCAAUUAAUGAGUUGCCUGUAUUGAGUACAUGUGAAGAUCAAUUCAUAAGUCCAAUAGAUAAUGAAGCUGCUGAACAAUCAUUGUCAGAAGAAAAAAAACAAUG